This 350-nucleotide ribosomal RNA is filed under the name uncultured bacterium. RNAcentral describes it as "bacterial SSU rRNA". It matches the Rfam family "Bacterial small subunit ribosomal RNA", at positions 1 to 334 of the family's 1533-position model. The record is from RNAcentral.
GUGAGUAGUUCAGAGUUUGAUCCUGGCUCAGGAUGAACGCUAGCGGCAGGCUUAACACAUGCAAGUCGAGGGGCAGCAUGGGACGGAGAUUCGUCGAAGUCCUGAUGGCGACCGGCGCACGGGUGAGUAACGCGUAUCCAACCUUCCCCUUACUCAGGAAUAGCCCGUUGAAAGACGGAUUAAUGCCUGAUGUUCUCAUGUUGCCGCAUGGCGAUUUGAGCAAAGAUUCAUCGGUAAGGGAUGGGGAUGCGUAUGAUUAGCUUGUUGGCGGGGUAACGGCCCACCAAGGCGACGAUCAUUAGGGGUUCUGAGAGGAAGGUCCUCCACACUGGAACUGAGACACGGUCCAG